GUGUGCUUUGUGGGUUUUUAUUUAGGACGUAAAACAAAUUCUUAUUACACAGCAACAGUUAAUUCCAAGUACAAUCUAAAAAAAAAAAAAAAAUUGUAAAAAGUUGAUGUUCCCCACUUGUUUGGAGGCAGCUUUAUGACGCGCGUGCACACACACACAAAUAUCACUCAGAGCAGACAAGCUGCUCCCCCCGAGGCCUCCAUGAUUUAUAGUCUCACUGCCACCAACUUCCUUCUCUCUGGGGCUGAGUGCAUCAGAUGGAUUAGUUAGCACUGGCAGAGCACAAAUCACGGCCAUCCUACCUAGAAACCAUAUUUUUCUGUUGUUUCUUAAAAAUGUACAUGGACACAAGAUAUGGUAGAAACUGCUUUUCCAUAGAAUUCUGAAGUUGCAAAAAGACACUUCCAUUUUAAUGUGAAAAUAAGCACUUUUGUGUUUUUUUAUAUUUUACAAAAAUGUUUCAAGAUAUUUAGCAAGGUUUAUUUGCGUAAAUAAUCCAUUUGUACACAGGUUGGCCCCGGCAUAUUUGUCAAUUUCCAUAUCAUUGUAUGAGUUUCAAUAAGAAAUAGGAACAAAUAUUAGCAGAAAAUAAACUUCAGCUCUCAAGCACAAUGUGCCUUUUUCAGUGAAUGGCUCUAUAUAAGCCUCUCUUAAAAGACUGGUGUGCAGUGCCCCUUCCACUGCUAAAAUACCAUAUAAAACAUGUGUUUGCAACAUACGCCUUAUCAAGGAGAGAAGACUACUUUACUAAAUAGCAAUUCACAUUUAAGUACCAUUUUUUAAAAUUCCCAUCUCACUACUGAAGGUUGCACUCGGCACGCCGAUGUAAUAAUUCAAAGAGGAACUGUGAAUAAUACUUUAAUGGCAUUUAUCAAAACAUGGCCAUACUUUUUUUUUUUUCAAGUAUCUUCCUAAAGAUAUCAAGUGGAACUCCAAUGUUCUCACAGUUUUAAAGAAAAACAUAGCAUAUUUAAUCAAAACAGCAUGGUGUAGUGGAAAGACCACUGGACUGGGCAGUAUGAUUCUAGUCCUGGCUAUACCACUAACUAGCUGUGGGACCUGGAGCAAGUCACUUAAUGUCCCUGGGCCUCAGUUUCCCCAUCUGAACUAGAUGACCUAAGGUCCCUUCUGGCUCUAAUAAUUUUUAUGAAUCUAAGUAAACCCAUUUGGGGAUGCCCUCCUCCCCCCUUAACACCAGUGAAGGUGGAAUUCCCAGCCAAUGAAUUAAGUGUAAACUGAUGGAAAUUAAAUGCCUACCUUCCUAAAUACUUGGAUAUUGCCUGCUACCUUCUACAUAAGGCUGUUUUUAGUGUCACGGUAGCCCCAGGACACAACAUGCUCCCUUCACUAGAGAAAUAUGUGGUUAAGGACAACAAGAAAGGAAGUCUAAUGUAAAGGCAAGUGCUGAAAUAAGAAAAAAGUUUAAAACAAAAAUAAAAAUACACAUAAUCUCCUAUCACACCAGAACUAAGAAUUUCAUUAAGUUGCCUUUGUUUUUUCCAGGCAGUAGUAAGACACUGAUGAAAUAACUGAAAAUUGCCAGCUACGUUAAUGUAGGGAUUAAAGAAACCGGUUAGGGAUGAAAGAAACCGGUAAAUUACUAAACAAAAUCCAAAAAGGGGCAGGGGGUAUCCUUCCUGGUGACACAGAAUCAGUCCCUCAGAAACAUGCCAUUAAUACCAGCUGCUUGCUUCCCCUAACUAAACUGCCCAAAACAAGGACCACUGGGGGGGGGGGGGGGGGGGGGGGGGGGGGGGGGGGGGGUGUUAGAAACAAAACAGCCAAGCAAUGGAAAACACUGCUGAACAAGAAAAGAGGAGGUUUGUCUUUAUCAAUCCAACAGCAGGCUGAGCCUUGCAACAUCCUCAAUUGGCACUUUUUAAGUUUAUGUCAUCUUCACUCUAAGGCCAUAGAACAAGGAAGUGUAUUUUCAUUCAUAUCUCCAUGGAAAUCAAAUACCAAAAGAGGAACAGCCAUAUUGGAAGGCGGCUACUACUACUACUACUACUACUACUACUACUACUACUACUACUACUACUACUACUAACUACUAAUACUACUACAACUACAUUAUUACUACUCUUUGCAGGGUUUGGGAGGAAGGGUGAAAGUAAAAUCAAAUACAAUCUAGGAAAAUAUGAUCCAGAGGGAAAGGAUUUAGUUUGGGUUGUGGCCCUAGAACAUUUUAUUAUGGACCGUGAUAGCAUUCCCCUCAUAUCUAGUGACAACACUGCUGAGGGCUGGUCAGUAGCUUUUGGACUUGGAUCACCUUUGCUACAGCACUCUGCACCGUUUCUCAAAUUUAAGUUUUUCCAAGCUUUUUUAAAAAGUUAGUUUUUCAAUAGGACAAAAGGGGAAACUUACAAUUGAUAAAAUUGGAAACAGCACCCUCACUAUUAGUAGCAUGCAGUCUAUGAAAUAUUACAUACAUUAAAUUCUCCAAUUACUCUGGGUUUUGAUCACAUAGAAUCCUUCCUAGACAAGCUAUAGAAUUCUAAACUGUACAAAAUAAAAAAUAUGCAUGAAAUUCAACAAUUUUUUUUUUACACAUCAGUACUGAAUAGAGCAAAAACCAGCAGCAAUUAAGACCCAUGGACUCCCUCCACAGUCACUCUAAUAAGAUGAAAAACUUCACAAAUGUCAUCAGCAGACAGCAAACACUGGUCCAAGAAGCAAAAUCCAUUCCUAGAGAAAACCCUAAGCUUAUCUAUCUCUGCAAGUCCAGCUCAGUUGACAUCUGUUUUUGUAAAUGAAUAGGAUGAGCUGUCAGAUUACCUUUUAGACUUCAAAAAUGUGUCUGCGUUGCAAACCCACUAAGCACUCUGAAGCAGAAAAUCCUGCAGGUAUGAGUAGAUACUGGGAAUAACUCAUUUAAGGGACAUAUUUUUAAAAUUAAGGUACAUACCCAGUACUAACCACCCACCACCACCACCACCACUCCAUCCCCCUUCCCUUCAAAAAACAAAACCCCUAAGCACAUCAAUCCACUUCAGGCAGUAAAAGAGAGUCUCAAGCUUAUCUUAAGUCAGCCACAGAUUGGUUCUAAAAAGGAAAUAAAAGCUCAAAGAGAUACCCAGUGCUAAUGUUGUUGGGGGGGGGAAGGGGGAAGGGGUUUUGGUCAAGUUCAUUUAAUAGGAGUGCUCAGGCACAGAUGAGUAAACUGAUGAGCAUAUAGGACUCCCAGCUGUUAGAAGACCUGAAAUAAGAUCACUAAAUGACUGAAAACAGGCAGUAUGGAGUUUUAUUGAUAAAAGAACUAUAUAGUUGGGCCUCAGUUAAAAUUUUAAAGAAGCUUUGUAGUCAAAGCCAGGAAUCUUCUUUCCUGCUAACACCUUGUCCACCUGUCCCUCAAGUUCACUAAACCCCGCUGUUCAGUCAGUGCAAGCCUGCUCAACACUCCGGCCCUGGCCUAAUCUAACCUAGCCUGGCCUUCCUGAAUUGUGGCUGAGUAUCCCUGGUCAAGAGGAUCAGGGGGAAUGGAACUGGUCCCAUUCUCAGAUCAUUUCUUAUUUAGAACUACCAUCCCUUACCAGGAUUUGGGGUCUCUGGAGAUAUUUCUUAAAUUAACUCUGUGGAAAAAUGAAGGUCAGAAAUGUAUUGCUCUUCUAAAUCUGAGAGUUGAAAUCCAAAAUUGUAUUUGUUGUACAGACAAAAGAAUUAAUAACUUCUGCUAUAAUCUCUGUUUAAGUUGAAGAAGGUCUCUAGCCCACAAAACUGGCAGUGCCAAAACUUGACCUACUAAGUUC
Sarcophilus harrisii (Tasmanian devil) is the source of this 3746-nucleotide long non-coding RNA. Lineage: Eukaryota; Metazoa; Chordata; Mammalia; Dasyuromorphia; Dasyuridae. The record is from Ensembl.